RNAcentral lists this ribosomal RNA (510 nucleotides) under uncultured bacterium. RNAcentral's name for it is "partial 16S ribosomal RNA". It matches the Rfam family "Bacterial small subunit ribosomal RNA", at positions 28 to 507 of the family's 1533-position model. The record is from RNAcentral.
GACGAACGCUGGCGGCGUGCUUAACACAUGCAAGUCGAACGAAGAGCGAUGGAAGCUUGCUUCUAUCAAUCUUAGUGGCGAACGGGUGAGUAACGCGUAAUCAACCUGCCCUUCAGAGGGGGACAACAGUUGGAAACGACUGCUAAUACCGCAUACGAUCUAACCUCGGCAUCGAGGAUGGAUGAAAGGUGGCCUCUAUUUAUAAGCUAUCACUGAAGGAGGGGAUUGCGUCUGAUUAGCUAGUUGGAGGGGUAACGGCCCACCAAGGCGAUGAGCAGUAGCCGGUCUGAGAGGAUGAACGGCCACAUUGGGACUGAGACACGGCCCAGACUCCUACGGGAGGCAGCAGUGGGGAAUCUUCCGCAAUGGACGAAAGUCUGACGGAGCAACGCCGCGUGAGUGAUGACGGCCUUCGGGUUGUAAAGCUCUGUUAAUCGGGACGAAAGGCCUUCUUGCGAAUAGUUAGAAGGAUUGACGGUACCGGAAUAGAAAGCCACGGCUAACUACGUG